GGUUGCAUUGGUUUCUUUGAUGAGAUGAUGUGGUCGGCUCCUUAUGCUUGACUUCAUCCUGGUUGGCGUGCUUCCAUUGGUUGGAGUGGUGGUGAGGUGGCCAGCUGAUGUUGAUGUGGAUGCCGAGGUGGUGCUCCAAGGGUGUAAAAGUGGUGGUAGAAACAUGCAACAUGUCCUGACUUGGCUUGCUUUCUGACUUAUUGAGGCUUGCUUUCUGACUUAUUGAGGCUUGCUUUCUGACUUAUUGAAUUUAUUUACAGGACUCGAUCAAAGCCACAGUGAUCUUGAGUUAAUUGAUUGGAGUCUUUUCUGGAUUCUGGUGCCCGCACCAAAAUACAUCAUAAAUAAUUUUCUUAAGGAUGCAUAUUAGCACCUAAUCCAAGUUUAAGCAUUUUUUUAAAAAAAAUAUCUUGUCUAAAAUGUUUUGCAGCCAUGUGCAUUGCACGGGCAUUAUAACUGAUCCAAUUUAAAAAUCUGAAGAUCAUAAUGGCUUCUGAACAGAAAUUUAUUUAA
RNAcentral lists this long non-coding RNA (513 nucleotides) under Phoenix dactylifera (date palm). RNAcentral's name for it is "long non-coding RNA (PDAC_LNC022502)". The record is from RNAcentral. Lineage: Eukaryota; Viridiplantae; Streptophyta; Magnoliopsida; Arecales; Arecaceae.